NCGCGNNCCAUNAGCUAGUCGGUAGGGUAACGGCCUACCAAGGCGACGAUGGAUAGCUGGUCUGAGAGGAUGAUCAGCCACACUGGGACUGAGACACUGCCCAGACUCCUACGGGAGGCUGCAGUCGAGAAUCUUCCGCAAUGGGCGAAAGCCUGACGGAGCAAUGCCGCGUGCAGGAUGAAGGCCCUUGGGUUGUAAACUGCUGUCACCAGGGAAGAACACAAUGACGGUACCUGGAGAGGAAGCACCGGCUAACUACGUGCCAGCAGCCGCGGUAAUACGUAGGGUGCAAGCGUUGUUCGGAUUUAUUGGGCGUAAAGGGUCCGCAGGGGGUCUUUUAAG
This 342-nucleotide ribosomal RNA is filed under the name uncultured bacterium. RNAcentral describes it as "bacterial SSU rRNA". It matches the Rfam family "Bacterial small subunit ribosomal RNA", at positions 231 to 587 of the family's 1533-position model. The record is from RNAcentral.